AUAAUAUCCUUAACAAACUUAUCGACAUGAGAUAUGACAAAGCCGCGUGACUUCGGGCGCUGUUCCUCCCUUCAGAUUGUUCAAACAUCCGAGUGUGGAGCUUUAUACUUCAGCUCUUCUUCUCUGCGCAGUAUCUAGUUUCUCUCACCAAGUUCUCAUUCAUUGCAAAAAUCUAGAUUGAAAAGCAAAUUUGUUGUAUAAUACGUCAUUAUUUCAGUAGAGAAGAGAGUUUAUAUACAUGGGUUCUUGUGUUAUUCUUCAUAACUUUCUCCCAACUACCCAUCAUUGGCAGUGUUGCAGAAAACAAACCCUAUCUCUCACCCCUUCUCCAUUUAUUUUGCUUAAAUCUCUUUCAAGCUUGAAGAAACAAAUCUCACUCCCAAAUAACCGAUUCAAGAAGCUCAACUCUUCGAAAUCUCGUCCUGCUCCGGUUGUUUCGGCUGUACAAUCCAAUUUCUUCAGAGUUCUUCAAACAGUGUGGAAGGUUGGAAGGGAUGGAAUAGAGGCAGGAACUAAUCUGGUGCCUGAUGCAGUUCCAAGACCACUAGCAAGGGUUUCUGUAACCAUAGUUGCGUUAACCGUUUCCCUCUUUUUACUCAAGUCAUUCCUGUCCACAGCUUUCUUUGUGCUGGCCACCAUGGGACUAGUGUACUUUAUGUUCAUAGCCUUGAAUAAAGAUAAAGGUCCAAGAAGUGGCGGAGGUACUACUACCACAGAGGACAGUCUUGAAGAAGCAAGAAGGAUAAUGGAAAAAUACAAGUGAAAAGAGAAGUUAGCAAGUUUGUUUUUGAUCAGUCAGAAUCUCUAUUUUAUCUGUCAGUUUAUCCUGUACAUGAGCUGACCAAAAGAAUCACAGGACGACAGGUGUCUGCAUAUAUUUUUUUGCACGGGUCCUUCAAGGGAUCGAGUUUAGCGUACCACCGGGCUGGUUGUUGAUCGUUGUCUGUUUUGUCAGAUCCGGUGAGCCAUAGACAAUAGCUAUGUCCCUUUUGGGGAUUGUAAUAGUAGAGUAUGGAUGUAGUAUGCAUGUAUGUAUGUAUGUAUGUUGGGAAACAUUUAGAAACUCUAGUAAGUUUAAGAGGGUGUAUGUUUUUCCACUGUGCAUGUUUAUACAGAUCAGUAUGAAACACUCGUUUCCCCUUAUUUGGGCAGGUUGUAUAUGUAUGGUAUCAAAGAAAUGUAUGUUAUGUAUGUUUAGUAGCACUCCGAGCCCACCUAGAGGGUCAGGGCGUUACAAUAAUAAUAACAUAAACUCCUUUUUU
Malania oleifera is the source of this 1262-nucleotide RNA transcript. RefSeq lists it as uncharacterized. NCBI's taxonomy places the organism in Eukaryota, Viridiplantae, Streptophyta, Magnoliopsida, Santalales, Ximeniaceae. The record is from RefSeq and is a predicted model, not a curated record. The transcript has 5 exons.